AUGGUUUGGUUCAGUCCUGCAUCUGCAGAUAAAGUCAUGCUCAGCUGCCAGGCUCUUCAAUUCUACCCACAGAGUCUUUCUUUUGAGUGGAGCGAUGCGAGUGGAGCACCAGUGGAUUCUGUACGUUAUCUUGCAGUAGAAACAAACAACAGAUUUACAGAAGUCAGUUUGGUUCAAAUGUCCAGAUCUGAAGCAAAUCUAAAGUCUUAUCAAUGUACAGUGACUCAUCCUGGUGGCACCGAGACUGUGAAUGCAAAAAGGGCCUCCUGUUCUCCAAAACUGACUUUGCUCUCGGUGACAACUGGAGACGGUCAGACACUAGUGUGCGUCAUUGAGGAUUUGUCUUCUGAAAAUCUGUCAGUCAAAUGGAAAAAGAAUGGCAAUGAGGUGUCUGGACACAAUGAAUGGCUUCCCAAAAAAUUCGGAGACUCGUGUUCAGCUGCCAGCGUCCUAAAGUUGAAAAGCUCUGACUGGGACAGUGAAGCUGUUUACACAUGUGAAGUGACUCACCUUGGAAAAACGUACACAAAGAAAGCUUCAAAAGCUCCUAUCACAGUAACACUGAACUCUGUGAGUCCUAAAACAAUAUUCAGUAACAACCAGGCAGAGCUAGAGUGUGUCGUCUCCGGACAGGACAAUGACAUUGUGUCAGGGACUGAAAUCACCUGGGAGAUUAAUGGAGAACAUAUGAGAAGUAAGAAUAAGGAAGCAACAAUGUUUGAAGGCAGUCAGUACAGCAAACACAGCAUCAUCACUUUUAAUUCCUCCGACUGGAGGACAGUGAGCAAAGUGAGAUGUUCUGCUGCAGCAGAAGACGAGGGACCAGUUUUUCAGGACCUGACUGUCAACAAUGGAGAUGGCACAGAGCCAAAAGUAACGGUCCACAUGCUUUCAGAUCAGGAUAUUGGCCAAGAAGCAUCAGCUCAGGUCACUCUGGUGUGUUUGGUUUCCAGUGAUGUGCUUCAGGAUUACUACAUUGCCUGGACUGAAGAUGUCGGACAAAGUAGCUCAGUGUAUUAUGACGGCAUCGACUUUCCACCAAGAAAGACCCAAAAUGGCUACUCAGUUGUAAGUGUUUACACCACCACCAAGGAGAAGUGGAGCGGAGGCCACGUCUUCUACUGCAACGUGUGGCCUGCCGGCCGUGGGAGUCGCAUGAAACCCAGUGGAGUGUCUCAGGCCAUGGAUUUCCCCAGUCUGACAUUUGCUCUGUGUGGCAAAGAAAAAGGUGGUGAUGAAGAUGAAUACAUCAGCCUUUGGUUCACGGUCUCGUCUUUCCUACUCCUCUUCAUAUUCAGUCUGUCAUACAGCUUAUUGCUCACCCUGCACAAGAUGCAACAAGAGCAGAGGAAUGUGCAACAAACACAGUAAUCUUUUCUUUUCCAUUUGAAUGGAUGAACCAUCACAAAGCUGUGCAUUUCCAUAUUUGUUUAUGCUUUUUAACAUAUAUUCUUCAAAAACCUAACAGUUAUCUGCUUUCUUAAAAAUGCACAUUAGUAAUUUUAUGUUUGUACAGUAGCUAUAAGUGUUGCCAUUCUUAAAGUGCUGUAAUGUUGCUUACAUUCAAAUACAGCAUAUUGAUGAUCUUUUAACAAUCUGUCACAUUAGUUUCCAUAUACGGUUAAACAAUGCUUUCCUUAUUUAGAGCUAGAGGUGACAAUGUACAGCAAGAAUCACUGUUAUGGCAUCUUUUGUAGUUUUUUUAUUUUUAUGUAUGUUGAAAACAUUAAAUAUGUAAAUACAAACAUAAACUUUUGAGGUUUUCUUUUCACCAGAUCAGAGAAGACAUCAGUUUUUUAGGAUACCGACCCUUGAAGCCAUUAUAGCGUGACCGGCCGUUAUCAGUUAAGUCUUGUAGGUUUUCAGUUUCCCUUCAGAGAGCCGAUUCCUCUUUUUCUUUGUGUUCCUCUGAGAAAACACCUGCAGCUGUGAAACUGUGUGAAAACCACCAGAAAUAUAAAUAAAC
Non-coding RNA from Poeciliopsis prolifica (blackstripe livebearer), 1966 nucleotides. The record is from the annotation of a RefSeq genome assembly. NCBI's taxonomy places the organism in Eukaryota, Metazoa, Chordata, Actinopteri, Cyprinodontiformes, Poeciliidae.